UAGCAGCACAUCAUGAUUUGCAUGCUGUAUUAGAUUCUAAUCAUUAUUUGCUGCUUCA
RNAcentral lists this microRNA precursor (58 nucleotides) under Xenopus laevis (African clawed frog). Its description in RNAcentral is "microRNA xla-mir-15b precursor". Its record names the gene xla-mir-15b. The record is from miRBase by way of RNAcentral. Lineage: Eukaryota; Metazoa; Chordata; Amphibia; Anura; Pipidae.